GUGCAGAAUGAAAGGAGAGCAAGUUAGCACUCCCCUUCACAAGGACGGAGAAUUGUCACACAAGCACAAUGGCAAAGAUCGCCUACCUUUGCGAGAUUUGCUGCCCAUUUUUUUU
Small nuclear RNA from Trichinella sp. T8, 115 nucleotides. Lineage: Eukaryota; Metazoa; Nematoda; Enoplea; Trichinellida; Trichinellidae. The record is from Rfam.